RNAcentral lists this ribosomal RNA (475 nucleotides) under uncultured bacterium. RNAcentral describes it as "bacterial SSU rRNA". It matches the Rfam family "Bacterial small subunit ribosomal RNA", at positions 28 to 514 of the family's 1533-position model. The record is from RNAcentral.
GACGAACGCUGGCGGCGUGCCUAACACAUGCAAGUCGAACGAGAUCCAUGGGAGCUUGCUCCCGGAAGAUCUAGUGGCGAACGGGUGAGUAACACGUGAGAAACCUGCCCUGGAGUGGGGAAUAACUCGGGGAAACUCGAGCUAAUACCGCAUACCCUCGGAUGGUCGCAUGGCCGACCGAGGAAAGAUUUAUCGCUCUAGGAGGGUCUCGCGGCCUAUCAGCUAGUUGGUGGGGUAACGGCCUACCAAGGCAACGACGGGUAGCUGGUUUGAGAGAACGAUCAGCCACACUGGGACUGAGACACGGCCCAGACUCCUACGGGAGGCAGCAGUGGGGAAUCUUGCGCAAUGGGCGAAAGCCUGACGCAGCAACGCCGCGUGCGGGAUGACGGCCUUCGUGGUUGUAAACCGCUUUCAGCAGGGACGAAAAUGACGGUACCUGCAGAAGAAGCCCCGGCUAACUACGUGCCAGCAG